AACAUGUCUUUAUGAUUAUAAUUUAAAGUCUAAUYUGCUCCAUGAUUUAAAAAUUAAAUAGCUGCAGAAUUUUAACUGUACAAAGGUAGCAUAAUCAAUAGUUUUUUAAUUAAAAGCUGGAAUGAAUGAUUUGAUAAGGUAAAUAUUGUCUCAAAUUUAAUGAAGUUAGAAUUUUUUUUUUAGUUAAAAUACUAAAAAAAAUUUAAAAGACGAGAAGACCCUAUAGAUUUUUAUAUUAUAAAUUAAAUAAAUUUAAAAAUAAAAAUAAUUUUUAAUUAAAAAAUAUUUGAUUGGGGAAAUUAUUAAAUUAAAAAAAUUUUAAUUAUUUAAAAACAAAAAUUGUUGAAUUUUUGAUCUUAAUUUUUAAAUUAAAAGAAUAAAUUACCUUAGGGAUAACAGCAUAAUUUUUUUUGAGAGAUCUUAUUGAUAAAAAAGUUUGUGACCUCGAUGUUGAAUUAAGAUUAAAUUUUAAUGAARAAAUUAAAAAUUUUUGGUCUGUUCGACCAUUAAAAUCUUAC
RNAcentral lists this ribosomal RNA (518 nucleotides) under Trychosis sp. BFS-2018. Its description in RNAcentral is "partial 16S large subunit ribosomal RNA". Lineage: Eukaryota; Metazoa; Arthropoda; Insecta; Hymenoptera; Ichneumonidae. The record is from RNAcentral.